AUUGAACGCUGGCGGCAUGCCUUACACAUGCAAGUCGAACGGCAGCACGGGAGCAAUCCUGGUGGCGAGUGGCGAACGGGUGAGUAAUAUAUCGGAACGUGCCCAGUCGUGGGGGAUAACGUAGCGAAAGCUACGCUAAUACCGCAUACGAUCUACGGAUGAAAGCGGGGGAUCGCAAGACCUCGCGCGAUUGGAGCGGCCGAUAUCAGAUUAGCAGUUGGUGGGGUAAAAGCCCACCAAGGCGACGAUCUGUAGCUGGUCUGAGAGGACGACCAGCCACACUGGGACUGAGACACGGCCCAGACUCCUACGGGAGGCAGCAGUGGGGAAUUUUGGACAAUGGGCGCAAGCCUGAUCCAGCAAUGCCGCGUGCAGGAC
RNAcentral lists this ribosomal RNA (378 nucleotides) under uncultured bacterium. RNAcentral's name for it is "bacterial SSU rRNA". It matches the Rfam family "Bacterial small subunit ribosomal RNA", at positions 29 to 409 of the family's 1533-position model. The record is from RNAcentral.